CUGCUGCCUUCCGUAGGAGUCUGGUCCGUGUCUCAGUACCAGUGUGGGGGACCUUCCUCUCAGAACCCCUACGCAUCGUCGUCUUGGUGGUCCGUUACACCGCCAACUAACUAAUGCGACGCAUGCCCAUCCGCCACCGGAAUCAACCUUUGGCACCAACAGGAUGUCCCGUCGAUGCAUUAUGCCGUAUUAGACGGAAUUUCUCCCGAUUAUCCGGCUGUGGCAGGCAGGUUGCAUACGUGUUACUCA
This 249-nucleotide ribosomal RNA is filed under the name uncultured bacterium. RNAcentral describes it as "partial 16S ribosomal RNA". The record is from RNAcentral.